GCGACGACGGGUAGCCGGCCUGAGAGGGUGACCGGCCACACUGGGACUGAGACACGGCCCAGACUCCUACGGGAGGCAGCAGUGGGGAAUAUUGCACAAUGGGCGCAAGCCUGAUGCAGCGACGCCGCGUGAGGGAUGACGGCCUUCGGGUUGUAAACCUCUUUCAGUAGGGAAGAAGCGAAAGUGACGGUACCUGCAGAAGAAGCGCCGGCUAACUACGUGCCAGCAGCCGCGGUAAUACGUAGGGCGCAAGCGUUAUCCGGAAUUAUUGGGCGUAAAGAGCUCGUAGGCGGUUUGUCGCGUCUGCCGUGAAAGUCCGGGGCUCAACUCCGGAUCUGCGGUGGGUACGGGCAGACUAGAGUGAUGUAGGGGAGACUGGAAUUCCUGGUGUAGCGGUGAAAUGCGCAGAUAUCAGGAGGAACACCGAUGGCGAAGGCAGGUCUCUGGGCAUUAACUGACGCUGAGGAGCGAAAGCAUGGGGAGCGAACAGGAUUAGAUACCCUGGUAGUCCAUGCCGUAAACGUUGGGCACUAGGUGUGGGGGACAUUCCACGUUUUCCGCGCCGUAGCUAACGCAUUAAGUGCCCCGCCUGGGRAGUACGG
Molecule: ribosomal RNA, 602 nt
Filed under: Arthrobacter sp. CMT814
Lineage: Bacteria; Bacillati; Actinomycetota; Actinomycetes; Micrococcales; Micrococcaceae
Description: bacterial SSU rRNA
Rfam family: Bacterial small subunit ribosomal RNA
Source: RNAcentral